This 321-nucleotide unclassified non-coding RNA is filed under the name uncultured fungus. RNAcentral describes it as "sequence contains ITS2". Lineage: Eukaryota; Fungi. The record is from RNAcentral.
AACGCACAUUGCACCUUGAGGUAUUCCUCAAGGUAUGCCUGUUCGAGAAUCAGUUAAACCAUCAAAGCCUAGUAUUGUUAAAGUAAUAGGUUUUGGAAUUGGGAUUUGUUGGACUUUUUAGUUAAACAUUCCUUAAUAAUAAUUGUUGCCCAACACUUUACUUGUUAGUGUGGUAUGCAUGACCAAUGAGUUUCGGCUCUUCUGAUUGCUAUAUAACAUUAACUACUGUAAUUUGUUUAAAGUAACAUUAAAAACUUCAACACAAAGCACUUUGCUUUAAGACUUGAUCUCGAAUCAGACAAGACUACCCGCUGAACUUAA